GAUCCUGGCUCAGGAUGAACGCUAGCUACAGGCUUAACACAUGCAAGUCGAGGGGCAGCAUGAACUUAGCUUGCUAAGUUUGAUGGCGACCGGCGCACGGGUGAGUAACACGUAUCCAACCUGCCGAUGACUCGGGGAUAGCCUUUCGAAAGAAAGAUUAAUACCCGAUGGCAUAGUUCUUCCGCAUGGUGGAACUAUUAAAGAAUUUCGGUCAUCGAUGGGAUGCGUUCCUACUUAGG
RNAcentral lists this ribosomal RNA (239 nucleotides) under uncultured bacterium. RNAcentral's name for it is "partial 16S ribosomal RNA". It matches the Rfam family "Bacterial small subunit ribosomal RNA", at positions 15 to 249 of the family's 1533-position model. The record is from RNAcentral.